GUGCGACGGCGCAGGUCUGCACCAUGGCGGCCCGGCUUGUGAGCCGAUGCGGGGCUGUGCGUGCAGCUCCCCACAGCGGCCCGCUGGCGUCCUGCCGCAGGUGGUCCGGCGCCUCAACAGACACCGUGUAUGACGUGGUGGUGUCGGGUGGAGGCCUGGUGGGCGCUGCCAUGGCCUGUGCCUUGGGAUAUGAUAUUCACUUUCAUGACAAGAAAAUCCUGUUGCUCGAAGCAGGUCCAAAGAAAGUACUGGAGAAAUUGUCAGAAACUUACAGCAACAGGGUCAGCUCCAUUUCCCCUGGCUCUGCAACGCUUCUCAGUAGUUUUGGUGCCUGGGACCAUAUCUGCAACAUGAGAUACAGAGCCUUUCGGCGAAUGCAGGUGUGGGACGCCUGCUCAGAGGCCCUGAUAAUGUUUGAUAAGGAUAAUUUAGAUGACAUGGGCUAUAUCGUGGAGAAUGAUGUCAUCAUGCAUGCUCUCACUAAGCAGUUGGAGGCUGUGUCUGGUGAGGCCCCCAUCUUCCAUCUUGCAUUCAUUGGGAAGUGAACUGCUUAGGACUUACUGGAAGAAAGGAUCU
This 576-nucleotide small RNA is filed under the name Pan troglodytes (chimpanzee). Its description in RNAcentral is "retained intron". Lineage: Eukaryota; Metazoa; Chordata; Mammalia; Primates; Hominidae. The record is from RNAcentral.